This 6365-nucleotide long non-coding RNA is filed under the name Homo sapiens (human). RNAcentral's name for it is "HSALNT0355091". Lineage: Eukaryota; Metazoa; Chordata; Mammalia; Primates; Hominidae. The record is from RNAcentral.
AGACACCCCGGGCAGGCAGCGGAGGCCGGCCCUGCUGAGCGACCCCCGUUAGCGACGACCCUCAGGGGCUCAGGCUCCACGCCCAUUAACUGGGUAUCAGUCCCUUCCAUCCCGGGGAGCCGAGCUCCUGGGAAGCAGCGCCUGGGGGCGCCGGCGACCGGCUGGGGCCGCCUCCCUGCUCCCCCGCCCUGGGCCCGAUCGCCGGGCGCGAGGCGUGCAGGGCGCGGCGCGGGCCCGGGCGCCCAGUUCAGCGGAAAGGAAUGCCUUGCUCGGCGGGGGAGGCCGUGGCCCCGAGGCCGUGUCCACCCCCGCCCGCCCCGGGCCUCAUUUACUGCGGCUCUGAAGCCCGGCCCGUUUCGCCCGCCGGGCCCCGCGGGGUGACUCCCCCCACGAUUGCGGUCCCCCGCCCUCCGCCCGGCCGCCGCUGGCGGACCCCAAAGUCGGGGCGAGUCUCCAAACCGGGGAGCCGGCCCCGCCCCCACGCCGCGGCGGCGCCCUCCCUUCCCCCUCCCCGCCGCCCGCCUCUCCCCCUCCCCCCUCCAUAACUCAAAAGCCUGUCAAGCUGGUUCCAGACUCCUGGCGCCGGGCUCCGCUCCAGGAAAGAAAAAAAGGAAAGAGAAAAAGGGAAAAAGCCGGCGCGAGGGAGCGAGAGAGGCCCGCGGAGCAAAACCGUGCGCCCCGGCACGCACAGCCCCGCGGCCCCCGACCCCCCACGCCCCUAACCCUAACGGGGAUCCCAGUCCUAGGGACACCGGGCGCGUGCGCGACCCCAAUCAGUUAUUUAUGGGCGAAUUAAUUAUGUAGCUGCCAUGGGCGGGGGGGCCGGCAGGGGCCAUGCGACGCGGAGACCACCCGGCCGCGGUGGCGGCUCUCCUGCCGGGCCUCGGGGUCGGGAGGCGUCCCCACGCCGCCCGGGGAGGAUCCCGUUGUGAGAAAGCUGCCUCGGGGUGGGGUCCGGGAGGAGCGCGGGGGAACCUGAGGAAGCGGGAGAGACGGCUCGGAGACCUCCCAAUUAGACUGGGAGGGGAGAGGGGGGCGGGCGACGGAGCUGGAAAGAGCGGGCCGCGGAGACCGGGGCGUGGGAAGAGCCUGGCCUAGGCAUUUCUUCCCUUCCUUCCUUCCUUCAUCCCCAUCCUUACUGCGAGCCCACUACGUGCCACUGCGCCCACAGCAGAGGGCGGUAUUAGGGAGGGGUUAGGAGCAGGAAGGAAUUUCGAGGUACAGCUGGGUCCAAAUCCGGAUUUGUAUCCUAUACUCCCCUGCUGUGUGGCCUUAGGCAACGGCUUGCCCUCUCGGAGCCUCCACUUCCUCAUCUGCCAGUGGUCUUCAGGACUUGGGAGAUGGGGCGCUUGGGCAGAGAGUUUGUGGGGGCGCGGUCGAAGGGAGGUCCUGUCCUUGGGAAACUUUACAUAGAGGGGAACAUGCCCAGUCCCCCAGUAUUCCCCAUCUCGAAGCCCCGACUUUGGGUCUCAUAUAAUCUGCCUCUCCCCGGGGCCCACACAUUUGAAGGUCGUUAUUAAAACCACACCACCCCCAAGGCCACUGCUCAGGACGCUCACCCCUAGCUGGCUUCUCACCAGCCUGGCCCUGCAGAAGGUCGUGCAUAUGGCAGCCAGAGGGGCUCAAUCUAGUCCUUUUACUCCCCACCUCCGCUGCCUCCCCCGACUCUGCCCUUCACAUCCCCACCUGGGUUCUCCUUCCAACCUGCUUCUAGUCUGGGCUAGGGAGAUUGGAGCCCUGAGGCCAUGGGGGCUACGGGGCAGUGAGAACAGGGGUGGGGGCUCAGCUGGCCCUCCCUGGACAAGUGUCCCCCUUAUCUGGAGUGUCAAGGCGUUCUACUUCCAAGACUCAGAAGUGAAGGAGGCUUCCGUUUGCGACCCAGGAUUGCCUAGGGGUUUGCCUGUCUUCUUUCACCAAAACUUGCAAUAACUCUGUUAGGUGAAUGGGGCAGAUCCAGGUUUUAUGGGGCCUGAAGGUUUUACAAUCCUGGGGACCCACUUGAAGAAGAAUAGUGCAAAGUUAUGAAUAGGCGGUUAAGCUCAGGGCCUUGGUAAAUGACAGUCCCAGGAGCUAAAGCUUCAUUAGCCCCUCGGUAACUCACCUCUGUAGAUGGACAACACAACUGUCAUCCCUUUGCAGAGGUGGAAACAAAGCUUAGGCUGGCCCAAGGUCACAACAGGUAGAAAGGACAAGCUGGGAUCAAACCCAGGUCCCACCCCACAGGCAGCACCCUGAACUAACUGCCUCAGUAGGAAUGCCACCUUCCAUAUCAUCUACCCCAUGCCACAUCUCACCUGUCCCCACCAGUGCCCAGCCCAGGCAGGGUCAGUCAGAACAGCCUUUGCUUCCAGAACAGUCUGUGUCCCUCCCUCCAGAGGCCUCCAUGUCCCAAGGCUCAAGCCUCAGAGAUACUGUCUUGUGACAACACUCACAGAUCUAGUAAGUAGGUCUCUUCUAAACUUUUGAUUCCAGCAAUGGUAACCUGCUCACUCCAGAACUCCAGCUCCCCCGUCCACCUGGAGGGAGCGCACCCCUGUUCCCCGGUGGGCUCCCUGGUGUUCGGGGCUGGAUCUGUUUUAUUUGGCUCAGUAUUCCCCGCUCUUGACGCAGUACAGACAUACAGCCGACAGAGUGACUGUAGCAGUAACAUCUAUUCCCAACCUCGUGGAACAGGAUGUUGUUAAACUGCGGAUUCCCGGGCCCCCCUCAGAUUCUACUGAAUCAGACUCUCUGUGCACAGGGCCGGGGACUUGGCAUUUUACAAGCUCUUUUGGGUGCAUCUUAACCAUAGUAAAGUUCGAGACCACGGACCUACGGCCAGAAAGGACCAAAUGGUUGUGUCUAGACCAAGGCCUUCUCACCAGGGGGAGUUAUCUCCCCUAAAUCCGACCGAUUUCACCAGUUCCCCAGGCUCUUCUGGCUGAGAUCAAAUUAUUUCACUUAUCAGGCCAGGCACAGUGGGUCAUGCCUGUAAUUCCAGCACUUUGGGAGGCUGAGGUGGGUGUGUCACUUGAGGUCAGGAGUUCAAGACUAGUCUGGCCAACAUGGCAAAACCCCGUCUCUACUAAAAACACAAAAAUUAGCUGGGUGUGGUGGUGGGCGCCUGUAAUCCCAGCUACUCAGGAGGCUGAGGCAUGAGAAUCGCUUGAACCCGGGAGGUGGAGGUUGCAGUGAGCCAAGGUCGUGCCACUGCACCCCAGCCUGGGUGACAGAGCAAGACUCAAAAACAGCAACAAAAAUUAUUUCAUGUAUCAAAGACCUACUGCCUGCCCGGGACUGGGUCUGAGGCCUUAGAGAAUUGACCUCAUAGGAUACUCGCAAAAGCUCUGAGAAGUAGGGAGAAUUAUUGUCCCCAUUUUACAGAUGGAAUCUGAGGCCUGGAGAAGCAAAGUGGCUUUGUGGAAGGGAUACGGUGCUGGGGAAUGAGGAGGCUGGGAUGGGAGCUGAACUCACACCCUUAACUCCUUCCUUCCACUGCCCACAAGGCCACUGAUCCGAGGGCUGUAACUCGCAAGGGUCCUUCAGUAACAUCCGGAGAUGAGAGUUUACACACCAGCCUGUGAGCGGCUUUGAGAAAUUAAACACGCUACAGAGUCACUACAGGGACCUCAUGCUAAGACGCGCAACAAAAUUAGGCGACAGGCCCCAAAGAAAUCUAAUCAAGUAGGCCUCUUCUCCUCCGUAUCUUUGGAGUCGGUGUUCAGGGGAAUGUGUGUUUGCGGAAGGAUUUGAUGUAUUUGCUUCAGGCAAAUCUUUGCCUUUUUCUCUGCCUGCAGUUCUGUGCUAGGCAGCAAGAAAGCUCCACAGCUGGUGGCCAGUGCUGCAGGCCAGCGUGGCUCCCUGGGCUUCUCUGUAGGGCUGUGUUAUCACGCUUCCCCGGGUCCGGUGCUCUGUGCAAACGUAGCCUCUUUCCUGCUCCAGGAUGGGCAAGGCACAGGGGAGGUUUCAGGUGGAGAGAAAUUGAUUUAGUGGCCACUGCUUCUGAGGCUGGAGGACCUGCCUGAGGCAGAGGGUGUGGACUUGUUCUGGGAGGACCCAGAAGGCAGAACCACGGAAGGCUACCAAGGGAGGUAGGUUUUGCCUCAAGAUGAACUAUCCAAUAGUCAGGGCAGCUGUGUAGGUAGUGAGUGCCCCACCUGGGGAGGUAGUCAAGGACAGGCAGGGAUAGAGAGUGGUGUGUCUAGGAGUACAGAGCCAUGCCUCAGGAGAAGAAGUGGCUGAAGACACUUUGAGGUCUUUUGAAACUCUGGGAAUUUCCAUAUCUAACAUUACUGACCAGCCCAUGUGGGACUGAGGGGAUAAAUUAAGGAAGGGAAGGGGCAGGUUAUGAUGGCCAGACUGGGAACCACAGACCCCCAGGGAGACAGAAGCAGGCUCCUAGCCCUUGGUCUUCCAACAAAACUACUGUUUCUCUCUCUCCCCUCCCUUCCUUUCUUCCUUCCUUCUUUCCUUCCUUCUCUCUCUCAUCACCCUCUCCUUCCCUCCUUCCCUCUCUCCCUUCCUCCCCCACUCCCUCCCUGUCUCUCUUUCCUUUUCUUUUCUUUCUUCCGACAGGGUCUUGCUCUGUCGCCCAGGCUGGAGUGCAGUUGUGUGGUCACAGCUCACUGCAGCCUCAACCACCCAGGCUCAAGCAAUCCUCCCACCUCAGCCUCCUGAGUAGCCGUGGUGAGACUACAGGUGCACUCCAUCAUGACUGGCUAAUUUUUGUAUUUUUUGUAGAGACAGGGUUUUGCCAUGUUGCCCAGGCUGGUCUCAAACUCUUGGGCUCAAAUCUUCCUUCCACCUUGGCCUCCCAAAGUGCCGGGAUUACAGGUGUGAACCACCACACCUGGCCUCACUCUCAUGACCCCUCAUGGGGUCUUGCCAUGUUACCCAGGCAGGUCUUGAACACAAGCGAUCCUCCUGACUCAGCCUCCCUAAGUGUUGGAAUUGCAGACCUGAGCCACCGUGCCCGGCGCACUAUUGUUUCUUGAAAUUCAAAUACGCUUCUUUCUUUUUCAGUCAUUUGUAAAUGUCUGGUAACCUUUCAUAAUGUUAUUAAUAAUAAUAUUUCUAAUAACUGGUAAUCAAUAACUGUACUCUCUGUAGCAUUAACUGCAUGCUUACUGAGAAAGGAUGUACUCUAGUCCAGGCAUGGUGGCUCACGCCUGUCAUUCCAGCACUUUGGGAGGCCGAGGUGGGUGGAUCACUUGAGGUCAGGAGUUUGAGACCAGCCUGGUCAACAUGGUGAAACCCCAUCUCUACUAAAAAUAUAAAAAUUAGCCGAGUGUGGUGGCACGUGCCUAUAAUCUCAGCUAUUCGAGAGGAUGAGGCAUGAGAAUCGCUUGAACGUGAGACGCGGAGGUUUCAGUGAGCUGAGAUCAUGCCACUGCACUCCAGCCUGGGUGACAGAGCCAGAAGCUGUCUCAAAAACAACAACAACAAAAACAAAAACAACAAAGAAAGGAAGGAAAGGAGAGGGAGAGGAAAAAGGAAAGAAAGGCUAUAUUCUAAGUGCUUAUGUGUAUAAAUGUGUGUAAUUGACAUGGCAGUCCUAUGAGAAGGGUGUUUAUUUGUGCUAUCACUCUUGUUUUAGAGAUGAGGACACUGAGGCUCAGAGGGCUGACAUGCCAAGCCCCAGGGCACAGGAAGGCAGGCCUCUGCUUCCACCUCACAUCCCCCAGUGCCUCUGGAAACCGCAGCCUGUGGAGGGCCUGAGGUCGCUUAUCACCUGUCUCUGCAGCUCAUCCUCAGCAAAGACUGAGGGUCCUUGAUGCUGUCCGGGUCCUUGAUGCUGUCCCCAUCUUUAUGCCAGGUCUCAUCUCAGAGGCAGGCUCAGGAAGGGAGCUGGGAGAUGCCGGCAGAGGGCCCAGGAGAGGCACACUGCCCACCAGCUAGGAGCUGCUUCUGACCUCGCUGGCCGAUGGCCGGGGACCCUGGCCCCUCCCAACCCCAGGGACACAAAGCAGAAGAUCCCAGAAUGGGGAUGGGGAGAGAGGACCAUCUUGUUCAACUUCCUCAUUCUAUACCAGGAAAACAGGCAUCGGAGAAGGGAAGAGAUACCUCAAGGUCAACGCCAAGUCCAGCAGCUGCUGCUCUCCUGAGUCCUCCACGUGGACUUCUUCUGCGUUCCCACAUCUCAUUCCUCCAAUUUUUUUUUAAAAAUUGUUAGUAGUAGCAUAAUACUAAGAAAGCACUAUUCAAAGGAACAAGAAGACCCACCGUGUGCGGAACGGUCACUGUGCACCAGGCAACGUGACCCGCAAUUUUCUCUCCUAUAAAACGGGGAUGAGAACAGGGCCUCCCCUGCUGACUCAUGGGAAGAGGUUAAGAUCAAAGGUGACAGUGGACAUGAAUCAGCAUUUUAUAAACCACAAGACAUUGUC